UACGUAGGGUGCGAGCGUUAAUCGGAAUUACUGGGCGUAAAGCGUGCGCAGGCUGUUCUGUAAGUCAGAUGUGAAAUCCCCGAGCUCAACUUGGGAACUGCGUUUGAAACUAACAGGACUAGAAUAUGUCAGAGGGGGGUAGAAUUCCACGUGUAGCAGUGAAAUGCGUAGAGAUGUGGAGGAAUACCAAUGGCGAAGGCAGCCCCCCUGGGAUAAUAUUGAACGCUCAUGCACGAAAAGCGUGGGGAGCAAACAGG
This 257-nucleotide ribosomal RNA is filed under the name uncultured bacterium. RNAcentral's name for it is "partial 16S ribosomal RNA". It matches the Rfam family "Bacterial small subunit ribosomal RNA", at positions 524 to 776 of the family's 1533-position model. The record is from RNAcentral.